Alligator sinensis (Chinese alligator) is the source of this 1236-nucleotide RNA transcript. It is a transcript of the gene named heterogeneous nuclear ribonucleoprotein D like, with no coding region annotated. Lineage: Eukaryota; Metazoa; Chordata; Crocodylia; Alligatoridae. The transcript is spliced from 8 exons. The record is from RefSeq and is a predicted model, not a curated record.
UUCUUUUUUUCUUUAGCAAAAUGUUCAUUGGAGGCCUGAGCUGGGACACAAGUAAGAAAGAUCUGACUGAAUAUCUUUCUCGUUUUGGAGAGGUCGUGGAUUGCACAAUUAAAACAGAUCCAGUAACUGGGCGGUCAAGGGGAUUUGGGUUUGUGCUCUUCAAAGAUGCUGCCAGUGUUGAGAAGGUGCUGGAGCUUAAGGAACACAAGUUGGAUGGCAAGUUAAUAGACCCCAAAAGGGCAAAAGCUUUGAAAGGAAAAGAGCCCCCCAAAAAAGUAUUUGUUGGUGGGCUGAGUCCAGACACAUCUGAAGAACAAAUAAAGGAGUACUUUGGUGCUUUUGGAGAGAUUGAAAAUAUUGAGCUUCCCAUGGACACAAAGACAAAUGAAAGAAGAGGCUUCUGUUUCAUCACGUAUACAGAUGAAGAGCCAGUAAAGAAAUUAUUGGAAAGCAGAUAUCAUCAAAUUGGUUCUGGAAAGUGUGAGAUCAAAGUAGCACAGCCCAAAGAAGUAUACAGACAGCAGCAACAGCAACAAAAAGGAGGAAAAGGAGCUUCAUCUGGUGGACGAGGUGGUGGCAGGGGCCGUGGCAGGGGUCAGGGACAAAGCUGGAAUCAAGGAUUUAAUAACUACUAUGAUCAAGGGUAUGGCAACUACAACAGUACUUACAGCGAUCAAAACUACAGUGGUUAUGGUGGAUACGAUUAUCCUGGGUACAACUAUGGAAACUAUAGCUAUGGACCAGGAUAUACAGAUUACAGUGGUCAGCAGAGCACAUAUGGAAAGGCAUCCCGAGGUGGCGGCAAUCACCAAAACAAUUACCAGCCAUAUUAAAGCAGUACUUGAAGCAGCAGCGGGAACUUCAUUGCAGGCCGUGUGUCACCCUGACCACGUCUCUCUGGGGUCGCACGUUGCAGGCAGAGCGCAAGGCAUACACCAGAAAACGCUGUCCUGUGGUGGAGAAGAUGAUACAGCAAAGCCAUCUUGCAGAAAAUCGAGACGGAAUGGAGGGUGGUCUUCGUGACGAGAUGACUAUUUUGUAAAAGACUUUUAGUGUAGACACAAUUGUGUCCAACUGUACAUAGCGGCUGACUUAGUUUUUCUUUAUGGCUUUUAUUUUGUCCUUUUGCCAUUCGUGUUAUGACACAAUGUGGAUUUGUGUUAAUACAACAUUUAUUUGUAUAAUUUCAUGUUUAUUGAUUCUCUAAUAAAUGCUUACUUAUGUGAUUUGUCUUCC